GUACGAUUUCUGCAGCACAUACAGUAAAAUUGUAAUGAUACAGAGAUUAGCAUUGCCCUGUGCAAAGCUGACACAAAAAUUGAUGAAGUGUUCUGUUUUUUA
This is a small nuclear RNA of Psammomys obesus (fat sand rat), 102 nucleotides long. NCBI's taxonomy places the organism in Eukaryota, Metazoa, Chordata, Mammalia, Rodentia, Muridae. The record is from RefSeq and is a predicted model, not a curated record.